CCCUUAGAUGUUCUGGGCUGCACGCGUGCUACACUGAUAUUGCCAAUAUGUCAUUCUUAUCCGAAAUGGAUUGGGUAAUCAAGUAAUGAAAUUUCAUGCUUGGAAUCGGUAAUUGCAAUUUUAUCGUGAACGAGGAAUUCCUAGUAAGCACUAGUCAUCAGCUAAUGUUGAUUAUGUCCCUGCCCUUUGUACACACCGCCCGUCGCUACCACUGAUUGGGUGUUCAAGUGAGAUGCUUAGACCCUUGUUGCAUGGUUCAUUAUUGUGCUCCGAAAGGAAAAAGUUUCAAGCUUGAGUGUCUAGAGGAAGUAAAAGUCGUAACA
Molecule: ribosomal RNA, 323 nt
Filed under: uncultured eukaryote
Lineage: Eukaryota
Description: partial 18S ribosomal RNA
Rfam family: Eukaryotic small subunit ribosomal RNA
Source: RNAcentral